RNAcentral lists this ribosomal RNA (465 nucleotides) under Vreelandella stevensii. RNAcentral describes it as "partial 16S ribosomal RNA". It matches the Rfam family "Bacterial small subunit ribosomal RNA", at positions 338 to 795 of the family's 1533-position model. The record is from RNAcentral. Lineage: Bacteria; Pseudomonadati; Pseudomonadota; Gammaproteobacteria; Oceanospirillales; Halomonadaceae.
CCUACGGGGGGCAGCAGUGGGGAAUAUUGGACAAUGGGCGAAAGCCUGAUCCAGCCAUGCCGCGUGUGUGAAGAAGGCCUUCGGGUUGUAAAGCACUUUCAGUGGGGAAGAAAGCCUUGGGGCUAAUACCCUCGAGGAAGGACAUCACCCACAGAAGAAGCACCGGCUAACUCCGGGCCAGCAGCCGCGGUAAUACGGAGGGUGCGAGCGUUAAUCGGAAUUACUGGGCGUAAAGCGCGCGUAGGCGGUCUGAUAAGCCGGUUGUGAAAGCCCCGGGCUCAACCUGGGAACGGCAUCCGGAACUGUCAGGCUAGAGUGCAGGAGAGGAAGGUAGAAUUCCCGGUGUAGCGGUGAAAUGCGUAGAGAUCGGGAGGAAUACCAGUGGCGAAGGCGGCCUUCUGGACUGACACUGACGCUGAGGUGCGAAAGCGUGGGUAGCAAACAGGAUUAGAUACCCCAGUAGUC